RNAcentral lists this ribosomal RNA (544 nucleotides) under Limnothrissa miodon. RNAcentral describes it as "partial 16S ribosomal RNA". It matches the Rfam family "Bacterial large subunit ribosomal RNA", at positions 1854 to 2597 of the family's 2925-position model. The record is from RNAcentral. Lineage: Eukaryota; Metazoa; Chordata; Actinopteri; Clupeiformes; Clupeidae.
CCCGCCUGCCCUGUGACCAAAAGUUUAACGGCCGCGGUAUUUUAACCGUGCAAAGGUAGCGCAAUCAAUUGUCUUUUAAAUGGAGACCUGUAUGAAUGGCAUAACGAGGGUUUAACUGUCUCUUUUUUCCAGUCAAUGAAACUGAUCUGCCCGUGCAGAAGCGGACAUACUUACACAAGACGAGAAGACCCUAUGGAGCUUUAGACGCCCACCAACUAUGAAAAGUAACCAUGUCAACGGAACUCCAAACAACAUACCCCUGGUACAAACGUCUUCGGUUGGGGCGACCACGGGGGAAAACGAAGCCCCCGAGAGGAUAGGGGAACACCCUAAAACCAAGAACUACAAUUCUAAGUCACAAAAUGUUUGACCAAUUAAUGAUCCGGCUUACGCCGAUCAACGGACCAAGUUACCCUAGGGAUAACAGCGCAAUCCCCUCCCAGAGUCCAUAUCGACGAGAGGGUUUACGACCUCGAUGUUGGAUCAGGACAUCCUAAUGGUGCAGCCGCUAUUAAGGGUUCGUUUGUUCAACGAUUAAAGUCCU